GCCCGGAUGGUGGAAUUGGUAGACACAAGGGACUUAAAAUCCCUCGGGAGAAAUCCCGUGCCGGUUCGAGUCCGGGUCCGGGCACCA
This 87-nucleotide transfer RNA is filed under the name Wenzhouxiangellaceae bacterium. RNAcentral describes it as "tRNA-Leu". It matches the Rfam family "tRNA". Rfam says of the family: Transfer RNA (tRNA) molecules are approximately 80 nucleotides in length. Their secondary structure includes four short double-helical elements and three loops (D, anti-codon, and T loops). The record is from RNAcentral. Lineage: Bacteria; Pseudomonadati; Pseudomonadota; Gammaproteobacteria; Chromatiales; Wenzhouxiangellaceae.